UAUAAAGGUGGCAGAGUAAGUGCAUUAGAUUUAAGCUCUAAAUAUGAGGAUGAAAUUUCCUUUCUUUAUAA
Molecule: transfer RNA, 71 nt
Filed under: Terebellum terebellum
Lineage: Eukaryota; Metazoa; Mollusca; Gastropoda; Littorinimorpha; Seraphsidae
Description: tRNA-Leu
Rfam family: tRNA
About the family: Transfer RNA (tRNA) molecules are approximately 80 nucleotides in length. Their secondary structure includes four short double-helical elements and three loops (D, anti-codon, and T loops).
Source: RNAcentral